RNAcentral lists this ribosomal RNA (450 nucleotides) under uncultured bacterium. Its description in RNAcentral is "bacterial SSU rRNA". It matches the Rfam family "Bacterial small subunit ribosomal RNA", at positions 28 to 475 of the family's 1533-position model. The record is from RNAcentral.
GACGAACGUUGGCGGCGUGCUUAAUACAUGCAAGUCAACUGAAGCACCGGUAGUAAUACUGGUGUGGAGGUGGCGCACGGGUGAGUAACACGUAGGUAAUCUGCCUUCAGGUCUGACAUAACCCCGAGAAAUCGGGGCGUAAUAGCAGAUGAUGCAGCGGCUUGACAUCAAGACAGUUGUUAAAGCUUCGGCGCCUGAAGAUGAGCCUGCGUCUGAUUAGCUAGUUGGCGGAGUAAUAGCCCACCAAGGCGACGAUCAGUAGCUGGUCUGAGAGGAUGAUCAGCCACACUGGAACUGAGACACGGUCCAGACUCCUACGGGAGGCAGCAGUAAGGAAUAUUGCUCAAUGGGAGAAAUCCUGAAGCAGCAACGCCGCGUGAGGGAUGAAGGGCUUUUGCUCGUAAACCUCUGUAGUGAGGGAAAAAAUUUCCAUUCUAUGGAAUAUGAUGG